Non-coding RNA from Chiloscyllium plagiosum (whitespotted bambooshark), 128 nucleotides. NCBI's taxonomy places the organism in Eukaryota, Metazoa, Chordata, Chondrichthyes, Orectolobiformes, Hemiscylliidae. The record is from RefSeq and is a predicted model, not a curated record.
AUCCAUUCCUCAUGCACAGAUUUAUGAAGACAUGUUUAAGACCUCCCCCGUGGCAGGGGAAGGUGAACCCAGAACUGCUGACCCUGAGGACAAGCCAAACAGAGACAUGUGCAAUAGUUCCUAGAAGC